This 567-nucleotide long non-coding RNA is filed under the name Rattus norvegicus (Norway rat). Its description in RNAcentral is "long non-coding RNA NONRATT012081". Lineage: Eukaryota; Metazoa; Chordata; Mammalia; Rodentia; Muridae. The record is from RNAcentral.
GGGGAUGAGCUUCAGAAUAUUCCAGGAGAGCAGGUGACAGAGGAACAAUUCACAGACGAACAGGGCAACAUUGUCACCAAGAAGAUCAUUCGAAAAGUCGUCCGACAGGUGGACUCCUCUGGUGCCAUCGACACCCAGCAGCACGAGGAGGUGGAGCUAAGAGGGAGUGGACUCCAGCCGGACCUGAUAGAAGGAUCACACCUCAACACCCAAACCCUGAACUCCACACACUCUUGUCAUGCACACGGGAGGAGACCUGGACCAGAGGGCUACUGAAGGGUCGCACGCGUUCUGAGCUCCCCGGCAUGACCUCUGUAAGGAGUUUCCUUUAGUCUCCUAUUCGCAUGAAUGACUGGCUGUAGACGCAUGACCUACAGUCUUCAGUCCUGCCUCUAGCGACUAUGGAUCUCUGUGGGAAUCAGGACAAAGGCGGCGAGAGAAGGGAGCGGAUAAGGAGCCCCAAAGAGCACACGGGUGCAGACACGAAUAAGGGCUUACCGUGGCUGGGAUGGUUGAUCCGUUUGUUUGCGUUUUGUUUUGAUUUUUGACUUCAAACUCAUUUGUAAG